UACGAAGGGGGCUAGCGUUGCUCGGAAUCACUGGGCGUAAAGCGCACGUAGGCGGCUUCUUAAGUCAGGGGUGAAAGCCUGGGGCUCAACCCCAGAACUGCACUUGAUACUGAGGAGCUUGAGUCCAGGAGAGGUGAGUGGAACUCCGGGUGUAGCGGUGAAAUUCGUAGAUAUUCGGAAGAACACCAGUGGCGAAGGCGGCUGACUGGACCGGAACUGACGCUGAGGCGCGAAAGCGUGGGGAGCAAACAGG
Molecule: ribosomal RNA, 253 nt
Filed under: uncultured bacterium
Lineage: Bacteria
Description: partial 16S ribosomal RNA
Rfam family: Bacterial small subunit ribosomal RNA
Source: RNAcentral